Oryza punctata is the source of this 187-nucleotide non-coding RNA. NCBI's taxonomy places the organism in Eukaryota, Viridiplantae, Streptophyta, Magnoliopsida, Poales, Poaceae. The record is from Rfam.
AAUAAUUGUAGUUUUGCAUUCUUUAUGUCUGAUCGUCUGUCUGAUUUGAAAUUUUUUUUAUUAGUAUUUUUGUUGUUAUUAGAUGAUAAAACAUGAAUAGCAAUUUAUGUGUGACUAUUUUUUAAAAAAUUUUGAAAUAAGACGAACAGUCAAACGUUGGACACGAAAACUCACGGCUAGACUUAUU